AGGCUCCCUCCGUCUGUCUACACCUUCUCAUAUCCAGCACAUGAGAGCCAGCCUGUUGUCAGGGCACGUCAUGUGUACAGGGGAUGUCCUAUUAAAGGAGAUGGACGAUCCUAUUACCACACUUCUUAUCAAGCACAGUUUAAAGGUGAAUGGAGUCCACCAGUAAAGUCAAGUGAAAAGCACAUGUCUCGUAUUAAAUUUGGGGAUCCAAGAAGCGGUGGAUCUGUGAGUGAGCAGAAACAUGCCUACACUGUUCCAGACAAGAGAAAGCACAGGGUCUAUGACAAGGAGCGUGCUGUCUUCCAGAUCCACCACACAAACCUGCAGCUAGGGGAUGGUUGCACCAGAUUUUUCACGUCAACGUCAGAGCUCUUCCCAGUACACAAUUUAGAGCCUGUAGCUGUUGCUCGUCCAAACAGAAAUGCCUCAUCCAUCCCCAGAGGCGACGAAGAUCCUGAGAACCUUGCGCUAGCAAGAAUGACUACGACACAGUUCUUCUACCCAGAGACUGGCAGGUGGAACUUCUCACCAAAGCCUGACUUGCUACUGCAGAAGCAUCAAAGCAGCAUCUGCUUAGGAGCUGACCGUUCAGGCUCCUGUUACUUCAGCACAACGCAGCAGUCAGACUAUCAGCCACCACACCAGACCCAGAGGGUGACAGGAGGCAAGAAUCGACGUGACAGCCACAUCCCCUUCGACUACCACAGUAAGAUUAAGUUGCUCAGACUGUCGUGGUGCUGGAAGUCUUGCUUACCCAUCACCUUGAUGCCUGUGCCAGCCAUAGUCAUUCACUGUUAUCAUACAGCAAUUGUUGGCAUAUUCAGAUGGUGACAUGAGUGAUUUCUGGGACAUGAACCAGUGGCUUGACCUUUCUCCCUUGCUAUGUUUGUGUUUUGAAGUUGCCUUGUUUUUGUACUCGGGGAAGGAAGGAAAGGAUUUGAAUCAAAAGCUUUUGCAACCUCAGGAAGAGAUGCAGUUAGAGCUGGUCGUGGGAGGCAUUAAGAAAAUCCUCCUGGCAUUGCCUCCUCUUUCUGAUGGACAGUAUUCUGCAGCUGAGAGAGGUUCCUUUACACCAUGUAUCUGUUUUUAAUCCAUUUGUUUUACUAGAUGUGGAACAGAUCACAGCGGCAACUGCUGUUUUCUUUGGACACAUAACUACUAGAUGGAAUGAUAUUCCUGUAUCUUCCAUGUGACUUUCUUAAUUUAUCUCCUCACUCUGAGAACUGUCUGACUGCAGUUGUAUGCUGGCCAAAGGUUUUCAGUGAAGUGCUGACUGCAAAGUCUGUCUUUGCCUCUCGUUAGUGGAAAUGCAUGCAGAUCUGUGACUGCAAGUCAAACUGCAACGUUUUCUGAUGUUGCUUCCUAAUUUACUGGCUUGAAUUUUCUUU
This 1388-nucleotide long non-coding RNA is filed under the name Cairina moschata (Muscovy duck). RNAcentral's name for it is "domestica (muscovy Duck (domestic type)) lncRNA (ENSCMMG00000004500.1)". The record is from RNAcentral. Lineage: Eukaryota; Metazoa; Chordata; Aves; Anseriformes; Anatidae.